Non-coding RNA from Malus domestica (apple), 223 nucleotides. Lineage: Eukaryota; Viridiplantae; Streptophyta; Magnoliopsida; Rosales; Rosaceae. The record is from RefSeq and is a predicted model, not a curated record.
CAGCUGAGCUUAAUAGAGUACUUAUUGGUCCACAGGCUGCUUCAGAUUGGUUAUAUGUAUAUCCAAAAGGAAUUCACGAUCUUGUGCUCUACACAAAGGAAAAAUAAAAUGAUCCACUCAUUUAUAUUACUGAGAGUGGUGUAUCAGAGUUGAAUAAUCCAAAACUAUCACUUGAAGAGGCCCUUCAUGAUACCAAUAGAAUUGACUACUACCAUCGUCACCU